UACGGAGGGUGCAAGCGUUGUCCGGAUUCAUUGGGUUUAAAGGGUGCGUAGGCGGCCUGGUAAGUCAGCGGUGAAAUCCCCCCGCUCAACGGGGGAACUGCCGUUGAUACUGCCGGGCUUGAGUUCGUGCGAGGUCGCUGGAAUGCGUGGUGUAGCGGUGAAAUGCAUAGAUAUCACGCAGAACACCGAUUGCGAAGGCAGGUGACUGGCACGCGACUGACGCUGAGGCACGAAAGUGUGGGGAGCAAAC
This 250-nucleotide ribosomal RNA is filed under the name uncultured bacterium. RNAcentral describes it as "partial 16S ribosomal RNA". It matches the Rfam family "Bacterial small subunit ribosomal RNA", at positions 524 to 773 of the family's 1533-position model. The record is from RNAcentral.